This 74-nucleotide non-coding RNA is filed under the name chicken gut metagenome. The record is from RNAcentral.
CGGGGUGGCGUUUUUGCCUGAGAUCAUACCCGUCAACCUGAUCUGGAUAAUACCAGCGUAGGGAGCGCGAUGUA